UCAACCAUCAAGCCUUGCUUGGUAUUGGGUGUCGUCCCUGCUGCGGACGCUCCCUAAAGUAAUCGGCGGUGGUGUUGAACCUCAAGCGUAGUAGAAUCUCCAGCUUUCUAGGUGAGACGCCGCUCGGCCUCGAGAAACCCCAAUCUUAA
This 149-nucleotide unclassified non-coding RNA is filed under the name uncultured Dothideomycetes. RNAcentral describes it as "sequence contains ITS2". Lineage: Eukaryota; Fungi; Ascomycota; Dothideomycetes. The record is from RNAcentral.